RNAcentral lists this ribosomal RNA (491 nucleotides) under uncultured bacterium. RNAcentral's name for it is "bacterial SSU rRNA". It matches the Rfam family "Bacterial small subunit ribosomal RNA", at positions 903 to 1397 of the family's 1533-position model. The record is from RNAcentral.
AAAGGAAUAGACGGGAGCCCGCACAAGCAGUGGAGUAUGUGGUUUAAUUCGACGCAACGCGAAGAACCUUACCAGAGCUUGACAUCCCUUUGACCGGAAAUGUAAUGUUUCCUUUCUCUUCGGAGACAAAGGUGACAGGUGGUGCAUGGUUGUCGUCAGCUCGUGUCGUGAGAUGUUGGGUUAAGUCCCGCAACGAGCGCAACCCUUACGGUCAGUUGCUACGAAAGAGCACUCUGGCCGGACUGCCGUUGACAAAACGGAGGAAGGUGGGGACGACGUCAAAUCAUCAUGCCCCUUACGCUCUGGGCUACACACGUACUACAAUGGCGCAAACAAAGAGUUGCGACCCCGCGAGGGUGAGCUAAUCUCAUAAAAGGCGUCCCAGUUCGGAUUGUAGGCUGAAACCCGCCUGCAUGAAGUUGGAAUUGCUAGUAAUCGUAGAUCAGCAUGCUACGGUGAAUACGUUCCCGGGCUUUGCACACACCGCCCGU